RNAcentral lists this long non-coding RNA (446 nucleotides) under Marmota monax (woodchuck). The record is from RNAcentral. Lineage: Eukaryota; Metazoa; Chordata; Mammalia; Rodentia; Sciuridae.
UUCACAUUGAAUAUUAAUCCCACAUUCAUUUUAGUUUUGAUCUUAUUAUUGUUUAAAUAUUCAAUGUACCUUGUUUUUUUUAAAUUUUUUUUUCAUUCAUCUGGUUUGCUGAAAGUUUUAGUAGAUUUUCCAAAUGGCUCACACUGCCUGUAUGUUAAAAGUGUUUGCUGGCUACAUACACAAAUGCUAGUUUGGCUGGCAGCCUAGUUCCAUUUUAAUUCACUCACAAAAUGUGGAAAAUUCUGACAUAAGUGGUCCAGUCUCCUGAACUAGAACUGGGAAAACUCCCUAGCAUCCUAUGAAAAGCCUUCUUUAACUGCUUCUGGAUUAGGCUUCUCUUUAGAAUUCAGCAAUUUAAAGAUGCCCAUGAAGAAUCCCUUUGUAGCUCUUCUGGUGUGGGUACGGGGUAUUCUUUAGUCUUUCUGCAGAGGUUCCUGGUAUGUAAG